UCAGAUGCGAAAGCGUGGGUAGCAAACAGGAUUAGAUACCCUGGUAGUCCACGCCGGUAGACGCUGUCUACUUGGAGGUUGAGGUUUAGACUUUGGCUUUCGGCGCUAACGCAUUAAGUAGACCGCCUGGGGAGUACGGCCGCAAGGUUAAAACUCAAAUGAAUUGACGGGGGCCCGCACAAGCGGUGGAGCAUGUGGUUUAAUUCGAUGCAACGCGAAGAACCUUACCUACUCUUGACAUCCAGCGAAGCCUUUAGAGAUAGAGGUGUGCCUUCGGGAGCGCUGAGACAGGUGCUGCAUGGCUGUCGUCAGCUCGUGUUGUGAAAUGUUGGGUUAAGUCCCGCAACGAGCGCAACCCUUAUCCUUGUUUGCCAGCGAGUAAUGUCGGGAACUCCAGGGAGACUGCCGGUGAUAAACCGGAGGAAGGUGGGGACGACGUUCAAGUCAUCAUGGCCCUUACGAGUAGGGCUACACACGUGCUACAAUGGCAGAUACAGAGGGCAGCGACGCUGCGAAGUAGAGCGAAUCCCUUAAAGUCUGUCGUAGUCCGGAUUGGAGUCUG
Molecule: ribosomal RNA, 562 nt
Filed under: uncultured Salinivibrio sp.
Lineage: Bacteria; Pseudomonadati; Pseudomonadota; Gammaproteobacteria; Vibrionales; Vibrionaceae
Description: bacterial SSU rRNA
Rfam family: Bacterial small subunit ribosomal RNA
Source: RNAcentral